AUUUAAUGAAGAAAUCACUGCCGUUGAAGUAGUUACUGCAUCAAUGAGACGCGUUAUUAAAAAACAACCAAUUACGCGAAAGAUUUCGUGGAAUUUUAGAGAAUGGUACCCAAAGCAAGAAGUCCUUAAGAGCGUUAGAGAAUGUGACAGCAGCACUUUUUGAUGCUUUAAGUACAGAUGGUAAGCCGGAACAAGUGAUCGAGUCGAGUCUGGAUUUCUCUUCAAGCUUUAAGAAC
Long non-coding RNA from Teleopsis dalmanni, 236 nucleotides. RefSeq lists it as uncharacterized. The transcript has 3 exons. NCBI's taxonomy places the organism in Eukaryota, Metazoa, Arthropoda, Insecta, Diptera, Diopsidae. The record is from RefSeq and is a predicted model, not a curated record.